GAUCUCCCAGUGCUUACCACAUGCUGUGUUCUUUAUACUGACUAUACAGAAAAAGGAGGCACAGUAAUCUCAACCCAUGUACACCCCAGCCCAGGCUCUUUACCUGCUCUGUUUUGUGAAUGGGGGGGAGGGG
Small nucleolar RNA from Sorex araneus (European shrew), 133 nucleotides. RefSeq annotates it as small nucleolar RNA SNORA51. The record is from RefSeq and is a predicted model, not a curated record. The transcript has a single exon. Lineage: Eukaryota; Metazoa; Chordata; Mammalia; Eulipotyphla; Soricidae.